GCCUGCUGGGAUAUCUCAGUCGGUAGAGCAUGAGACUCUUGAUCUUAGAGUUGUGGGUUCUAGCCCCACGUUAGGCA
Molecule: transfer RNA, 77 nt
Filed under: Podarcis lilfordi (Lilford's wall lizard)
Lineage: Eukaryota; Metazoa; Chordata; Lepidosauria; Squamata; Lacertidae
Description: tRNA.Lys
Rfam family: tRNA
About the family: Transfer RNA (tRNA) molecules are approximately 80 nucleotides in length. Their secondary structure includes four short double-helical elements and three loops (D, anti-codon, and T loops). Further hydrogen bonds mediate the characteristic L-shaped molecular structure. tRNAs have two regions of fundamental functional importance: the anti-codon, which is responsible for specific mRNA codon recognition, and the 3' end, to which the tRNAs corresponding amino acid is attached (by aminoacyl-tRNA synthetases). tRNAs cope with the degeneracy of the genetic code in two manners: having more than one tRNA (with a specific anti-codon) for a particular amino acid; and 'wobble' base-pairing, i.e. permitting non-standard base-pairing at the 3rd anti-codon position.
Source: RNAcentral